RNAcentral lists this long non-coding RNA (548 nucleotides) under Brassica napus (rape). RNAcentral's name for it is "long non-coding RNA (BNAP_LNC027174)". The record is from RNAcentral. Lineage: Eukaryota; Viridiplantae; Streptophyta; Magnoliopsida; Brassicales; Brassicaceae.
AAAUUUCAUAAUUUCAUCAAUUUGUACUAUUCUAUUUAUUGAUUAGUGAUUAGUUGAUUGGGUUUAAUGAUUAUUUGAUUGGGUUUAGUUUAUGUACGAUUGAGAUUGACAUUGGGGCAAACAUUAUUACCUUCCCUAAUGGCAUAGCCAUAUCAAUAUUUGAGAAAUAUGGUAAGAUGAUCUUUAGAUUGCAACUACAUUUUCACAUUUUCUAUUCUAUAUGCUUCAUAUAGAAUAGUAAUUCAUCUUACUGGUAUGAAAUUUGAAUUUAUUAUAUGGAAAAUUGGUGUGGACAUUUGAUUAGAGUUUAUAUUUCUGGGUAGAGUUUAGUGAUUAGUUGAUAGGGUUUAUAUUAUUUUACAGUGAAUAUGCAUGAUGUAUGUUUUGUUGUUGAGUUUAGUAUUUAGUGAUUGUGAGUGGGGUUAGUAUUUAGUGGUUUAUUUUUGUCCAUUUAUUUAUUGAACACAGUGAAAAGUAUGCGGUUAUUUAUUAUGUGACGUGGAAUAUGUAUCUUCCCUUUUAAGAUAAUAAUUUUUGGUAAAUAAUGG